This is a long non-coding RNA of Nematostella vectensis (starlet sea anemone), 1211 nucleotides long. RefSeq lists it as uncharacterized. The record is from RefSeq and is a predicted model, not a curated record. The transcript is spliced from 2 exons. NCBI's taxonomy places the organism in Eukaryota, Metazoa, Cnidaria, Anthozoa, Actiniaria, Edwardsiidae.
GCCUGUGUAAUAGUUUGCUUCUCUCCGUGUUCAGCCGAGCGUACCUAAUUGUCCAACGGCGGCGGUCAAGGAUUCAAAUGGCUGCUUACUCGUUUUAAAAAAUGGCUAGCGGCCAGGAAAAAUGAUUUAGCACGGAUGUUUUGCCACAUAUCAAAUGUUGGAAUCGUGAUCAGUUUUUCUUUUAGAAUAGCAGGUAUUCUAUGGGAUUUUUAAUUUUGUAGAUCACAGAUGGCAUAUUAACAGCCCUUUUUGACAUAAUUUAGGGGUCAAAUUCUUUUCUUUUUCUGACAAGUAAACAUUACUUAUGACAUGAAGUACCCCUUUGAGGUUUGCAAAUCAUCAAAAAAAUGUUUGUCCAACAGAUGUGUAUAAAAAUGUAGCAGAGUAUGUAAUACUGAAAUCUAGAACAUGUGCUGAGAGUGGCACCAAACUGGUUUGUCAAAACUUUGUCAAACAAUUGUGCUGAACAACUAAAAACCCAAGUGGUAUUUUGCAUUAGUUACCAUUGUUUGGUAAUCUGCUUCAGAGUCUUGUUAACAUAAUCUAAAUUUACUUAAAGGCUGAAACAGAUAUUUUUAGAUAAUAGUUCCAUUAUAUUUCAAAUGCAAAACCGUUCUUUGAUAGUUCUUGUUAGGCAAUAUGCAUGUAUCAAUGUAAAGCUGGAGUGAGGGGGUCGGGCUGAUGUGGGGCAUUUAAUUUUUUUUACAUUUUUUUAUUAUCAAUUUUUUACCAAAUUGCCUUCUCUUGGGACUGAAAAGGAGUUCAAAUGGCAUGAAAAUUCCUGGGGAUACAAAACAGAGAUGCCCAAAUGCCUCAGCUCUGCCUGACUGCUUGCCCUCGGGCUUUACACUGAUACAUGCAUUGUAGUUAGUCUUCAUUGCAUGAUAUUUCAAAUGUGAAGUGUUCUUUAUUUAUAAUUAAGAGCAGAUUCUGUAAAGCUGGCAGUAUGAUUACCACAAGCAAGGCCACAGCCUAAAACUUGGCCUUCUAUGACCUUUGCCUUUUUGUGGCCUUUUCCACUAAGAGAGAUCUGCCCUGAUUAUUCUUCUUUAAUUAUAAAGGAAACCAUGAUUCUUGUUAGUGCUAUUAAGAAACCUAAAGAAUGCAACAGAUUUAUUAGAUAGUAUAGUGAGGUGAGGCUGCAUGAUUUUCCAAAUGUGAAGUAUUCUUGAAUUAGACAUUUUAUCACAUUAGUAAGACAAUUACAAAAA